GACGAACGCUGGCGGCGUGCCUAAUACAUGCAAGUUGAGCGCUGAAGGUUGGUACUUGUACCGACUGGAUGAGCAGCGAACGGGUGAGUAACGCGUGGGGAAUCUGCCUUUGAGCGGGGGACAACAUUUGGAAACGAAUGCUAAUACCGCAUAAAAACUUUAAACACAAGUUUUAAGUUUGAAAGAUGCAAUUGCAUCACUCAAAGAUGAUCCCGCGUUGUAUUAGCUAGUUGGUGAGGUAAAGGCUCACCAAGGCGAUGAUACAUAGCCGACCUGAGAGGGUGAUCGGCCAAAUUGGGAAUGAGACACGGCCCAAACUCCUACGGGAGGCAGCAGUAGGGAAUCUUAGGCAAUGGACGAAAGUCUGACCGAGCAACGCCGCGGGAGUGAAGAAGGUUUUCGGAUCGUAAAACUCUGUUGGUAGAGAAGAAAGUUGGUGAGAGUGGAAAGCUCAUAAAGUGACGGUAACUAACCAGAAAGGGACGGCUAACUACGUG
Molecule: ribosomal RNA, 497 nt
Filed under: uncultured bacterium
Lineage: Bacteria
Description: partial 16S ribosomal RNA
Rfam family: Bacterial small subunit ribosomal RNA
Source: RNAcentral